UGGGGAAUCUUGCGCAAUGGCCGAAAGGCUGACGCAGCGACGCCGCGUGCGGGAGGACGCCCUUCGGGGUGUAAACCGCUGUCAGGGGGGACGAAGGCCUUGAGGAGGCAAUGCCUCGAGGUUUGACGGUACCUCCAGAGGAAGCACCGGCUAACUCCGUG
Molecule: ribosomal RNA, 161 nt
Filed under: uncultured bacterium
Lineage: Bacteria
Description: partial 16S ribosomal RNA
Rfam family: Bacterial small subunit ribosomal RNA
Source: RNAcentral